AACGAACGCUGGCGGCAGGCUUAACACAUGCAAGUCGAACGGGUGUAGCAAUACAUCAGUGGCAGACGGGUGAGUAACACGUGGGAACCUUCCUAGAGGUACGGAACAACUCAGGGAAACUUGAGCUAAUACCGUAUACGCUCUUGCGAGGAAAGAUUUAUCGCCUUUAGACGGGCCCGCGUCGGAUUAGCUAGUUGGUGGGGUAACGGCCUACCAAGGCGACGAUCCGUAGCUGAUCUGAGAGGAUGAUCAGCCACACUGGGACUGAGACACGGCCCAGACUCCUACGGGAGGCAGCAGUGGGGAAUCUUGGACAAUGGGCGCAAGCCUGAUCCAGCCAUGCCGCGUGAGUGAAGAAGGCC
This 362-nucleotide ribosomal RNA is filed under the name uncultured bacterium. RNAcentral describes it as "bacterial SSU rRNA". It matches the Rfam family "Bacterial small subunit ribosomal RNA", at positions 29 to 416 of the family's 1533-position model. The record is from RNAcentral.